This 438-nucleotide ribosomal RNA is filed under the name uncultured Pelotomaculum sp. RNAcentral's name for it is "bacterial SSU rRNA". It matches the Rfam family "Bacterial small subunit ribosomal RNA", at positions 944 to 1382 of the family's 1533-position model. Lineage: Bacteria; Bacillati; Bacillota; Clostridia; Eubacteriales; Desulfotomaculaceae. The record is from RNAcentral.
GUUAAUUCGACGCAACGCGAGAACCUUACCAGGGCUUGACAUCCCCUGACCGCGUAUGAAAGUACGUUUUCACCUCGGGUGACAGGGAGACAGGUGGUGCAUGGUUGUCGUCAGCUCGUGUCGUGAGAUGUUGGGUUAAGUCCCGCAACGAGCGCAACCCCUACGUUUAGUUGCUAACGCGUGAAGGCGAGCACUCUAGACGAACUGCCGUUGACAAAACGGAGGAAGGUGGGGAUGACGUCAAAUCAUCAUGCCCCUUAUGUUCUGGGCUACACACGUGCUACAAUGGCCGGUACAGACGGACGCAAAGCCGCGAGGUGGAGCAAAUCCUAAAAAGCCGGUCUCAGUUCGGAUUGCAGGCUGCAAUUCGCCUGCAUGAAGUCGGAAUCGCUAGUAAUCGCAGGUCAGCAUACUGCGGUGAAUACGUUCCCGGGCCUU